UACGUAAGGGGCGAGCGUUGUCCGGAUUCAUUGGGCGUAAAGAGCUCGUAGGCGGCUUGGCAAGUCGGAUGUGAAAACUCCAGGCUCAACCUGGAGCCGCCAUUCGAUACUGCUAUGGCUAGAGUCCGGUAGGGGAGUGUGGAAUUCCCGGUGUAGCGGUGAAAUGCGCAGAUAUCAGGAAGAACACCCGUGGCUAAGGCGGCUCUCUAGUACGGUACUGACGCUGAGACGCGAAAGCGUGGGGAGCGAACAGG
RNAcentral lists this ribosomal RNA (254 nucleotides) under uncultured bacterium. RNAcentral describes it as "partial 16S ribosomal RNA". It matches the Rfam family "Bacterial small subunit ribosomal RNA", at positions 524 to 776 of the family's 1533-position model. The record is from RNAcentral.